GAUGAACGCUGGCGGCGUGCCUAAUACAUGCAAGUCGAGCGAACAGACGAGGAGCUUGCUCCUCCGACGUUAGCGGCGGACGGGUGAGUAACACGUGGAUAACCUACCUAUAAGACUGGGAUAACUUCGGGAAACCGGAGCUAAUACCGGAUAAUAUAUUGAACCGCAUGGUUCAAUAGUGAAAGACGGUUUUGCUGUCACUUAUAGAUGGAUCCGCGCCGCAUUAGCUAGUUGGUAAGGUAACGGCUUACCAAGGCAACGACGCGUAGCCGACCUGAGAGGGUGAUCGGCCACACUGGAACUGAGACACGGUCCAGACUCCUACGGGAGGCAGCAGUAGGGAAUCUUCCGCAAUGGGCGAAAGCCUGACGGAGCAACGCCGCGUGAGUGAUGAAGGUCUUCGGAUCGUAAAACUCUGUUAUUAGGGAAGAACAAAUGUGUAAGUAACUAUGCACGUCUUGACGGUACCUAAUCAGAAAGCCACGGCUAACUACGUG
RNAcentral lists this ribosomal RNA (497 nucleotides) under uncultured bacterium. Its description in RNAcentral is "partial 16S ribosomal RNA". It matches the Rfam family "Bacterial small subunit ribosomal RNA", at positions 28 to 507 of the family's 1533-position model. The record is from RNAcentral.